AUUGAACGCUGGCGGCAGGCUUAACACAUGCAAGUCGAGCGGAGCGAAGGUGCUUGCACCUUAGCUUAGCGGCGGACGGGUGAGUAAUGCUUAGGAAUCUGCCUAUUAGUGGGGGACAACGUUUCGAAAGGAACGCUGAUACCGCAUACGUCAUACGGGAGAAAGCAGGGGAUCUUCGGACCUUGUGCUAAUAGAUGAGCCUAGGUCGGAUUAGCUAGUUGGUGGGGUAAAGGCCUACCAAGGCGACGAUCUGUAGCGGGUCUGAGAGGAUGAUCCGCGACACUGGGACUGAGACACGGCCCAGACUCCUACGGGAGGCAGCAGUGGGGAAUAUUGGACAAUGGGCGAAAGCCUGAUCCAGCCAUGCCGCGUGUGUGAAGAAGGCCUUUUGGUUGUAAAGCACUUUAAGCGAGGAGGAGGAGCUUCAGGUUAAUACCCUGGAUGCUUGGACGUUACUCGCAGAAUAAGCACCGGCUAACUCUGUGCCAGCCGCCGCCGUAA
RNAcentral lists this ribosomal RNA (501 nucleotides) under uncultured bacterium. RNAcentral's name for it is "partial 16S ribosomal RNA". It matches the Rfam family "Bacterial small subunit ribosomal RNA", at positions 30 to 523 of the family's 1533-position model. The record is from RNAcentral.